CUGAUUUGAAGAGCUUGCUCAGAUAUGACGAUGGACAUUGCAAAGAGUGGCGAACGGGUGAGUAACACGUGGGAAACCUACCUCUUAGCAGGGGAUAACAUUUGGAAACAGAUGCUAAUACCGUAUAACAAUGACAACCGCAUGGUUGUUAUUUAAAAGAUGGUUCUGCUAUCACUAAGAGAUGGUCCCGCGGUGCAUUAGCUAGUUGGUAAGGUAAUGGCUUACCAAGGCGAUGAUGCAUAGCCGAGUUGAGAGACUGAUCGGCCACAAUGGGACUGAGACACGGCCCAUACUCCUACGGGAGGCAGCAGUAGGGAAUCUUCCACAAUGGGCGAAAGCCUGAUGGAGCAACGCCGCGUGUGUGAU
Molecule: ribosomal RNA, 366 nt
Filed under: Weissella confusa
Lineage: Bacteria; Bacillati; Bacillota; Bacilli; Lactobacillales; Lactobacillaceae
Description: bacterial SSU rRNA
Rfam family: Bacterial small subunit ribosomal RNA
Source: RNAcentral